Molecule: ribosomal RNA, 1262 nt
Filed under: metagenome
Description: bacterial LSU rRNA
Rfam family: Bacterial large subunit ribosomal RNA
Source: RNAcentral
UGCGAUCGGGUGAACUGUGGUUAAGGAACUCGGCAAAUUGCCCCCGUAACUUCGGGAGAAGGGGGGCCUCCGCUGUGAUCAGACUUGCUUUGUGAGCUGGUGGGGGUCGCAGAGGCCAGGGGGAAGCGACUGUUUACUAAAAACACAGGUCCGUGCGAAGUCGUAAGACGAUGUAUACGGACUGACGCCUGCCCGGUGCUGGAACGUUAAGGGGACCGGUUAGCGCAUUUCGGUGUGCGAGGCUGAGAACUUAAGCGCCAGUAAACGGCGGUGGUAACUAUAACCAUCCUAAGGUAGCGAAAUUCCUUGUCGGGUAAGUUCCGACCUGCACGAAUGGCGUAACGACUUCCCCGCUGUCUCAACCGCAGACCCGGCGAAAUUGCACUACGAGUAAAGAUGCUCGUUACGCGCAGCAGGACGGAAAGACCCCGGGACCUUCACUACAGCUUGACAUUGGCGUUUGGAACGUCUUGUGUAGGAUAGGUGGGAGACUGUGAAGCUGUCACGCUAGUGGCGGUGGAGUCAUUGGUGAAAUACCACUCUGGUCGUUUUGAACGUCUAACUUCGGUCCGUGAUCCGGAUCAGGGACAGUGUCUGGUGGGUAGUUUAACUGGGGCGGUUGCCUCCUAAAGAGUAACGGAGGCGCCCAAAGGUUCCCUCAGCCUGGUUGGUAAUCAGGUGUCGAGUGUAAGUGCACAAGGGAGCUUGACUGUGAGACCGACGGGUCGAGCAGGAGCGAAAGCUGGGACUAGUGAUCCGGCGGUGGCAUGUGGAAGCGCCGUCGCUCAACGGCUAAAAGGUACCCCGGGGAUAACAGGCUGAUCUUCCCCAAGAGUCCAUAUCGACGGGAUGGUUUGGCACCUCGAUGUCGGCUCGUCGCAUCCUGGGGCUGGAGUAGGUCCCAAGGGUUGGGCUGUUCGCCCAUUAAAGCGGUACGCGAGCUGGGUUUAGAACGUCGCGAGACAGUUCGGUCCCUAUCCGCUGCGCGCGCAGGAGACUUGAAAGGAGCUGUCCCUAGUACGAGGGGACCGGGACGGACGAACCUCUGGUGUGCCAGUUGUUCCGCCAGGAGCAUGGCUGGUUGGCUACGUUCGGAAGGGAUAACCGCUGAAAGCAUCUAAGCGGGAAGCUCGCCUUGAGAUGAGGUCUCCCACCACGAAAGUGGGUAAGGCCCCCGGGAGACGACCGGGUUGAUAGGCCGGAGGUGGAAGCAUGGUAACGUGUGGAGCUGACCGGUACUAAUAGGCCGAGGACUUGACCAC